Molecule: unclassified non-coding RNA, 386 nt
Filed under: Hevea brasiliensis (rubber tree)
Lineage: Eukaryota; Viridiplantae; Streptophyta; Magnoliopsida; Malpighiales; Euphorbiaceae
Source: RNAcentral
AAUUAUAUGGAAUUCAAUUGAAUUUUGCAUAUUAAGUUGUAUCAUUCAAUCCACUAGAAUUCAAUCUAAAUGAAUUCCAUCCCUAUUUCAUUUCAAUAAAACGGGGUGGAAAUGUAGUUACCAAAUUUAACUGCUAAACCGAGACAUAAAGCUUCAACAAAGACAAAAACGACAAUUAUGAAGUAUUUUUUGGAUAUAGAUGAUUAAAGAGGUCGCCUUAUGAACAAACAAAACAAUAUUUUUAUGCUUUGGAUGGACUAAAAACCUUCAUAGUAAUAGAAGAGAACCAAAUCAUAAUUCAACCAAUAAACGCUAACAUUGCUUCAAAAUUCGAAAGCAGUUAAAAGCCAACAAUUAUGUUUAAGGAAUAACAGAAUAAGAGCGAA